UAACACAUGCAAGUCGAACGAGCGAGAGAGAGCUUGCUUUCUCGAGCGAGUGGCGAACGGGUGAGUAACGCGUGAGGAACCUGCCUCAAAGAGGGGGACAACAGUUGGAAACGACUGCUAAUACCGCAUAAGCCCACGGGUCGGCAUCGACCAGAGGGAAAAGGAGCAAUCCGCUUUGAGAUGGCCUCGCGUCCGAUUAGCUAGUUGGUGAGGUAACGGCCCACCAAGGCGACGAUCGGUAGCCGGACUGAAAGGUUGAACGGCCACAUUGGGACUGAGACACGGCCCAGACUCCUACGGGAGGCAGCAGUGGGGAAUAUUGCACAAUGGGGGAAACCCUGAUGCAGCGACGCCGCGUGGAGGAAGAAGGUCUUCGGAUUGUAAACUCCUGUUGUUGGGGAAGAUAAUGACGGUACCCAACAAGGAAGUGACGGCUAACUACGUGCCAGCAGCCGCGGUAAAACGUAGGUCACAAGCGUUGUCCGGAAUUACUGGGUGUAAAGGGAGCGCAGGCGGGAAGACAAGUUGGAAGUGAAAUCUAUGGGCUCAACCCAUAAACUGCUUUCAAAACUGUUUUUCUUGAGUAGUGCAGAGGUAGGCGGAAUUCCCGGUGUAGCGGUGGAAUGCGUAGAUAUCGGGAGGAACACCAGUGGCGAAGGCGGCCUACUGGGCACCAACUGACGCUGAGGCUCGAAAGUGUGGGUAGCAAACAGGAUUAGAUACCCUGGUAGUCCACACCGUAAAC
Molecule: ribosomal RNA, 745 nt
Filed under: uncultured bacterium
Lineage: Bacteria
Description: bacterial SSU rRNA
Rfam family: Bacterial small subunit ribosomal RNA
Source: RNAcentral